UACGGAGGAUUCGAGCGUUAUCCGGAUUUAUUGGGUUUAAAGGGAGCGUAGGCGGGUUGUUAAGUCAGUUGUGAAAGUUUGCGGCUCAACCGUAAAAUUGCAGUUGAUACUGGCAUCCUUGGGUACAGUAGAGGUAGGCGGAAUUCGUGGUGUAGCGGUGAAAUGCUUAGAUAUCACGAAGAACUCCGAUUGCGAAGGCAGCCUGCUGGACUGUAACUGACGCUGAUGCUCGAAAGUGUGGGUAUCAAACAGG
Molecule: ribosomal RNA, 253 nt
Filed under: uncultured bacterium
Lineage: Bacteria
Description: partial 16S ribosomal RNA
Rfam family: Bacterial small subunit ribosomal RNA
Source: RNAcentral